GUAGGUGAACCUGCGGAGAGAUCAUUAACACGUGUAAAAACGUAUUUUAACAAAAACCCUAACCUAACAAACCAAUACCGUGAACUAUGUUAUAAUAUAUUGAUUAUUAUUAUACCUUUUUUUUUAUCUUUUAUGUUUUACUAGUAACAUAGUAAAAUAUGAUAGUGUGAAAAAAACAAACCCUUUUCCAACCUUUAUUUUUUUCUAUCUGUUUGUUAUAUAUAUGUUUCUUACGAGAUCUGUAUAUGCU
RNAcentral lists this unclassified non-coding RNA (250 nucleotides) under plant metagenome. RNAcentral describes it as "partial contains small subunit ribosomal RNA, internal transcribed spacer 1, and 5.8S ribosomal RNA". The record is from RNAcentral.